UACGGGGGGAGCAAGCGUUGUUCGGAUUUACUGGGCGUAAAGGGCGCGUAGGCGGCCACCGCAAGUCGGUUGUGAAAUCUCUGGGCUUAACCCAGAAAGGUCAACCGAUACUGCGGGGCUAGAGUGCAGAAGGGGCAACUGGAAUUCCCAGUGUAGCGGUGAAAUGCGUAGAUAUGUGGAGGAACACCGAUGGCGAAGGCAGCCCCCUGGGUCAAGACUGACGCUCAUGCACGAAAGCGUGGGGAGCAAACAGG
Molecule: ribosomal RNA, 254 nt
Filed under: uncultured bacterium
Lineage: Bacteria
Description: partial 16S ribosomal RNA
Rfam family: Bacterial small subunit ribosomal RNA
Source: RNAcentral